CAGGUGUAGUUUAAUGGUAGAACUUCAGCCUUCCAAGCUGCUAACGAGGGUUCGAUUCCCUUCACCUG
This 68-nucleotide transfer RNA is filed under the name human gut metagenome. It matches the Rfam family "tRNA". From Rfam's summary of the family: Transfer RNA (tRNA) molecules are approximately 80 nucleotides in length. The record is from RNAcentral.